This 2298-nucleotide ribosomal RNA is filed under the name Triticum aestivum (bread wheat). RNAcentral describes it as "partial small subunit ribosomal RNA". The record is from RNAcentral. Lineage: Eukaryota; Viridiplantae; Streptophyta; Magnoliopsida; Poales; Poaceae.
AUGAUGAAGCUGGGGUAUUCUCGGUUUCUUCUUUCUUGCCGUGCUCUUAUCUGCCUUUCGGCGAUUUGGGUGAUGGCCUCGGCCGAUGUACCGGCAGGCCAGCGUCCCGGCUGCCGGACGAAGUGCGGCGAUGUCGACAUUCCAUUCCCGUUCGGCAUCGGCGAGGAGUGCGCGUUCAAGUUCAACCCCGGUGUUGAUACCAGCGACACUGGCUUAGAUAUCAGCGGCUUUAAUAUCGACUGCAUGACCAUCGCUGGUGGCGUCGAGAAGCCUUUUGUAAGUACUCCAUGGUUGGAAGAUAUGAUCGAGGUGACUAAUAUCUCUUUGCCUGACGGCAAGGCCUGGAUGAAGGCCACGACGAUCUCGUCUCAGUGCUAUGACCCAUCCACCCGCAGUAUAACCGAGCGAAAUGGAGAGGCGGCCUUCUUCUUGACACCUUUCUGGAUAUCAGAAGUGGACAACGCAAUUAUCGUCAUCGGGUGUGAUACUCUCGGUUAUACGAGGAGCUCUUCUUAUGUGGUAGGCUGCUCGUCCUCUUGCGACAACUAUCGUGGCACGGAUACCCUGAAGAAUGCCACAUGCGAUGGUUUCGGCUGCUGUCAAGCCGAUGUCCCGAAAGGCGUACGGAAUUUAUGGCUAUUUCAACAAAAACUAUAACACCUCACAAACAUGGAGAGACGGCAGUCCUUGCAGCUACGUGGCACUUAUAGAAAAGGCGGCUUUCAGUUUCAAAACCAGCUAUGUCAACUCCACAGUAUUCAAUGAUACAUACAAAGCUGGAGUUCCUAUUGUCCUGAACUGGGAAAUAGAAUCGUCGAGUUGCGAGCAAGCUAAGAAGAAUAGUUCCUACGCCUGUGUUAGCAGCAACAGUGUGUGCGUGAAUUCCACCACCAACGCGCCAGGUUAUCGCUGCAAUUGCUCUGAUGGGUACAAAGGCAACCCUUACAUCAUAAACGGAUGCCAAGAUAUUGACGAGUGCCAUGAAAAUGCUACUCUCUGUGGCUCUGGAAUCUGCGAGAACACGUUAGGGCAUUACAGUUGUUCAUGCCACCCAGGAGAUUAUAUGACGAAUGACGGUUGUGUGCAAAAGCAUUUCCUUUUUCCGGCGAUGCCUGUUGUAGGUGCAAGUGUGGUACUUGUCGUCUUUGUGGUUGUUGUAUCAUGUGUCUGCUUGAUCCAGGAGAGAAACUACAAAACAUGAAAAAGGAAUACUUCCGACGACACGGUGGUCUGAUAUUAUUUGAUGAGAUGAGGUCAAAGCAAGGUAUUACAUUCAAAAUAUUCACGGAAGAAGAAUUGCAGCAAGCCACAAACAGAUUCGGUGAACAACGAGUACUGGGUCAAGGAGGCUAUGGGACCGUGUACAAGGGGUUUCUUAAGGGUAAUGUGGAAGUAGCGGUGAAGAGAUGCAAGACCAUCGACGAGCAACAAAAGAAAGAAUUCGGUAAAGAAAUGCUAAUCUUGUCCCAGGUCAACCAUAGAAAUAUAGUGAAGCUCCUCGGGUGUUGCCUUGAAGUGGAAGUCCCUAUGCUGGUAUAUGAGUUUGUCCCAAAUGGCACCCUCUUCCAGCUCAUACACGGUGACCAUGGUAUGCGUAUCUCCUUGGCUACUCGCUUGGGGAUCGCCCAUGAGUCCGCCGAGGCUCUUGCCUACCUUCACUCGUCGACUUCGACGCCGAUCCUCCACGGUGAUGUCAAGUCGUCCAACAUUCUUCUUGACAUGGACCACCAAGCUAAAGUUUCUGACUUUGGCGCCUCCAUCCUGGCACCAACUGAUAAGUCACAAUUCAUCACACUGGUACAUGGAACAUGCGGGUACCUUGACCCGGAGUACAUGCAAACCAAUCUGCUGACGGACAAGAGCGACGUGUACAGCUUUGGGGUUGUUUUGUUGGAGCUACUCACGGCCAAAUUGCCAUUUAAUUUCAAUCCGGAUGUCCCUGCCCACGAGAAGAGCCUAUCGAUGAUGUUUAUGUAUGCCAUGAAGGAGAAUAAGCUCGAGCAAAUCUUGGAUGUUGAGCUCAAGGACAGGGAUAACACAGAGAUUCUUGAAGAGAUCGCGGAGCUAGCGAUGCGUUGCUUAGAGAUGUGUGGUGACAACAGGCCAUCGAUGAAGGAAGUUGCGGAGAAGCUUGAUAGUCUGAGGAAGGUGCUGCAACAUCCAUGGGUGCAGCGGAACCCUGAAGAGAUGGAAUGCCUACUUGGGGAGCCCUCAUCGAUGGUCAGCUCGACAAUAACAAGUGUUGAAUAUUUCAGCAUCGAGAAGAAAGCUGUUAAUGGUCUGCAGUCAGGUCGUUAA